ACUCCUACGGGAGGCAGCAGUGGGAAUAUUGCACAAUGGGCGCAAGCCUGAUGCAGCGACGCCGCGUGAAGGAUGAAGGCUUUCGAGUCGUAAACUUCUGUUAAGUGGGAAGAAAGACCCUUGAGUAAUAUGCAAGGGAGAUGACGGUACCACUAGAGAAAGCACCGGCUAACUUCGUGCCAGCAGCCGCGGUAAUACGAAGGGUGCAAGCGUUGUCCGGAAUUAUUGGGCGUAAAGAGCUCGUAGGCGGUUUGUCACGUCUGCUGUGAAAAUCCAAGGCUCAACCUUGGACUUGCAGUGGGUACGGGCAGGCUAGAGUGCGGUAGGGGAGAUGGGAAUUCCUGUGUAGCGGUGGAAUGCGCAGAUAUCAGGAGGAACACCAAUGGCGAAGGCACAUCUCUGGGCCGUAACUGACGCUGAGGAGCGAAAGCGUGGGGAGCGAACAGGAUUAGAUA
This 455-nucleotide ribosomal RNA is filed under the name uncultured bacterium. Its description in RNAcentral is "bacterial SSU rRNA". It matches the Rfam family "Bacterial small subunit ribosomal RNA", at positions 335 to 784 of the family's 1533-position model. The record is from RNAcentral.